ACACAUGCAAGUCGAGGGGCAGCAUGGUCUUAGCUUGCUAAGGCCGAUGGCGACCGGCGCACGGGUGAGUAACACGUAUCCAACCUGCCGUCUACUCUUGGACAGCCUUCUGAAAGGAAGAUUAAUACAAGAUGGCAUCAUGAGUCCGCAUGUUCACAUGAUUAAAGGUAUUCCGGUAGACGAUGGGGAUGCGUUCCAUUAGAUAGUAGGCGGGGUAACGGCCCACCUAGUCUUCGAUGGAUAGGGGUUCUGAGAGGAAGGUCCCCCACAUUGGAACUGAGACACGGUCCAAACUCCUACGGGAGGCAGCAGUGAGGAAUAUUGGUCAAUGGGCGAGAGCCUGAACCAGCCAAGUAGCGUGAAGGAUGGCUGCCCUAUGGGUUGUAAACUUCUUUUAUAAAGGAAUAAAGUCGGGUAUGGAUACCCGUUUGCAUGUACUUUAUGAAUAAGGAUCGGCUAACUCCGUGCCAGCAGCCGCGGUAAUACGGAGGAUCCGAGCGUUAUCCGGAUUUAUUGGGUUUAAAGGGAGCGUAGAUGGAUAUUUAAGUCAGUUGUGAAAGUUUGCGGCUCAACCGUAAAAUUGCAGUUGAUACUGGAUAUCUUGAGUGCAGUUGAGGCAGGCGGAAUUCGUGGUGUAGCGGUGAAAUGCUUAGAUAUCACGAAGAACUCCGAUUGCGAAGGCAGCCUGCUA
Molecule: ribosomal RNA, 691 nt
Filed under: uncultured Bacteroidales bacterium
Lineage: Bacteria; Pseudomonadati; Bacteroidota; Bacteroidia; Bacteroidales
Description: bacterial SSU rRNA
Rfam family: Bacterial small subunit ribosomal RNA
Source: RNAcentral